Suricata suricatta (meerkat) is the source of this 441-nucleotide non-coding RNA. NCBI's taxonomy places the organism in Eukaryota, Metazoa, Chordata, Mammalia, Carnivora, Herpestidae. The record is from the annotation of a RefSeq genome assembly.
AUGGGUCCCCAGCUGCUCUACUGUGUAGCCUUUUGCCUCCUUGGGGCAGGUCACAUGGGUGCCAGGGUUAUCCAGAACCCAAGAUACCAGGUUACCAAGAUCGGAAAAGCAGUGUCUCUGGGCUGUUCUCAGAAUAUGAAUCAUGAUGCCAUGUACUGGUACCAACAGAAGCCGAGCCAAGCACCAAAGCUGCUGCUCUACUACUAUGAUACAAAUCUUAACAAGGAAGAAGACACGUCUGACAACUUCAAAUCCAGCCGACCUAACACUUCUUUCUGUUCUCUUGACAUCAGCUUGGCUGGCUUAGAGGAUUCUGCAGUGUAUUUCUGUGCCAGCAGUAAAGACACAGAGCUAGAGUGUUACCUCUCCCCUGAUCAUAAACCUGUUUCCCAGGUCCAAGAUCCUUCCACAGACCACCCUCCCACCCUACAGCAAUGGUAG